AAGUCGUAACAAGGUUUCCGUAGGUGAACCUGCGGAAGGAUCAUUAAUGAAAUGAUAAUUUUUUGGGGUUUUUCCCUGAAAAAUAAUUCACCUUUUGUGCAUUGUUAUUAGAUAUACUUUGGUUAGAGCUUUGAUUUCAUUUUUUGAAAUCAACUUCUUGCUGACUCUAUCCUGUUAAGAACAGUUGGCUAUGAAGCGGCCUACCAAGGUUUUUUUAUCAAACUCAUUUAAUUUAUCUGACCUAAACUACUAUAAUAAAAUCAUAACUUUCAACAACGGAUCUCUUGGCUCUC
RNAcentral lists this unclassified non-coding RNA (293 nucleotides) under fungal sp. RNAcentral describes it as "partial internal transcribed spacer region". The stretch from base 1 to 46 matches the Rfam family "Eukaryotic small subunit ribosomal RNA", at positions 1786 to 1831 of the family's 1831-position model. Lineage: Eukaryota; Fungi. The record is from RNAcentral.